CAGCCGCCGCGGGAAUACGGAGGGUGCAAGCGUUAAUCGGAAUUACUGGGCGUAAAGCGUGCGUAGGCGGUUCGUUAAGUCUGUUGUGAAAGCCCCGGGCUCAACCUGGGAAUGGCAAUGGAUACUGGCGAGCUAGAGUGUGUCAGAGGAUGGUGGAAUUCCCGGUGUAGCGGUGAAAUGCGUAGAGAUCGGGAGGAACAUCAGUGGCGAAGGCGGCCAUCUGGGACAACACUGACGCUGAGGCACGAAAGCGUGGGGAGCAAACAGGAUUAGAUACCCCUGUAGUCCCUGUCUCUUAUAC
RNAcentral lists this ribosomal RNA (301 nucleotides) under uncultured bacterium. RNAcentral describes it as "partial 16S ribosomal RNA". It matches the Rfam family "Bacterial small subunit ribosomal RNA", at positions 509 to 807 of the family's 1533-position model. The record is from RNAcentral.